This 1123-nucleotide long non-coding RNA is filed under the name Equus asinus (donkey). Its description in RNAcentral is "lncRNA (ENSEASG00005027001.1)". The record is from RNAcentral. Lineage: Eukaryota; Metazoa; Chordata; Mammalia; Perissodactyla; Equidae.
CUAACAUCUCCCCAUUUCCCCCACCCCUUCAGCCCCGCAUAACCACCACGCUACUCUCUGUUUCUCAGGGUUGAGCUGUUUUAGAUUCCGUAUAUAAGUGAGAUCGUAUAGUAUUUCUCUUUCUCAGUCUGACUGAGCUCAUUCAGCAUAAUGCUGGGCAUUGCAUUUUACCCUUCUCCCUCUCCAAUUCCACUCCACCGUCUCGCUGGACUAAACAAGCCUUGUAAGCCGUCUCCCUACCCCCUGCCCUGGCCUCUUGCUCCAAUCCAUUCUUCACACAGCAGUGUGAAAUGUUCCUGUGCCAAGAAAGUGCCUGGCUCACUGCAGAUCCUUGACGCUGCUGGGGGGGUGAAUAAGUGAGGUCUGAGAGGUGGGCAGCGUCAAGGGAUGAAGACGUUGGGUAAGGGUUUGAUUUUGACUUUGAGAGUCAUAGGAGGUGAGUAAGAAAGUAUCUUAACCUGAUUUGGGUACUGUCAGUGUCCUCCAGCCCAAGACCACUGGGAAUACACCUGUGGUUGAACAAGAGGGCUUGACUGCCUCCUUGCAGUGAGGGAGAAGACAUCAUGGGGAACUGUGGGAGCAUCUCAGCUAAAGGGUCUUAGAAGUGCCAGCAUUGGGGCUUAUGUUAGGGGAUUCUGGACAAGAUGCAAGGAGUAGGGUUUGCUCUGAAUUCAAUGUAUUCAGGAAGCAGGGGGAAUACUGUGACUGAAUUUCUUAAUAAAUCUCAUCUUGAAGGUGGGAGAAAGAGGAAGGCUAAAACUGUGAUUGGUAAAGAAGCAGGAGUAACAUUUUUCAGCCAGGAUGGAAGGCGCGUUGGUCAUUUUUGUGGUUUGGACAUUGUUUAUGUUGUUGUCUCUGUUCAGACAUGAUCACAGAGUGGUCUUCUUUUUGUCGUCAUCUAUCAGGGUCACAGAGUGGCCUUGGCUGAUGUUGGAGUUCGAGGCUGUGUUUAUGUUGAACAGAAGAGCACCAAGGCCCAGCUGGGAGUGCCAAGCCAGCUCUCACCUGCCAGGAGCUGCUUUUCCUUGGUGUUAAUAAGACACAGAGUAGAAGCGUGAGUCCAGGCAGAGGGGCAGUGGUCCACGUGAGAGGUGAAGGAGUCUUGUACUAGGUGAGCGUGGAG